GUUUUUCUCAGGGGACGUUCAAAUUAUUUUUGUAACGGGAGUCGGCAGAGGACGGGGCGUGCCCGACGUGCACGCGUCCUCCCUCCCCGGCCCUCCUCCAGCGUCUGCCGGCGCCUGCCCUGCGAGGGCGUCAUGCCGCCUAAAACCCCCCGUAGAGCAGCAGCCGCUGCCGCCGCCGCCGCCGCCGCCGCCGCCGCCGCGGAGCCCCCGCCGCCGCCCCCGCCGCCCCCUCCUGAGGAGGACCCGGAGCAGGACAGCGGCCCCGAGGACCUGCCUCUAGCCAGGCUUGAGUUUGAAGAAACUGAAGAACCUGAUUUUACUGCAUUAUGUCAGAAAUUAAAGAUACCAGAUCAUGUCAGAGAAAGAGCUUGGUUAACUUGGGAGAAAGUUUCAUCUGUGGAUGGAGUCUUGGAAGCUUAUGUUCAAAAGAAAAAGGAACUAUGGGGAAUCUGUAUCUUUACUGCAGCAGUUGACCUAGAUGAGAUGCCGUUCACUUUCACUGAGCUGCAGAAAAACAUUGAAACCAGCGUCUAUAAAUUUUUUGACUUACUAAAAGAAAUCGAUACCAGUACCAAAGUUGAUAAUGUAAUGUCAAGACUGUUGAAGAAGUAUAAUGUGUUAUGUGCACUCUACAGCAAAUUAGAAAGGACAUGUGAACUUAUAUAUUUGUCACAACCCAGCAGUUCGAUAUCUACGGAAAUAAAUUCUAUGUUGGUGCUAAAAGUUUCUUGGCUCACAUUUUUACUAGCUAAAGGGCAAGUUUUACAAAUGGAAGAUGAUCUGGUGAUCUCAUUUCAGUUAAUGCUGUGUGUCCUUGACUAUUUUAUCAAGCUCUCACCUCCUGCAUUACUCAAAGAACCAUAUAAAACAGCUGUAAUACCUAUUAAUGGUUCACCUCGAACACCAAGGCGAGGUCAGAACAGGAGUGCACGGAUAGCAAAACAACUAGAAAAUGAUACAAGAAUUAUUGAAGUUCUCUGUAAAGAACAUGAAUGUAAUAUAGAUGAGGUGAAAAAUGUUUAUUUCAAAAAUUUUAUACCUUUUAUGAAUUCUCUUGGAAUUGUAGCUUCCAAUGGACUUCCAGAGGUGGAAAGUCUUUCUAAACAAUAUGAAGAAAUUUACCUUAAAAACAAAGAUAUAGAUGCAAGAUUAUUUCUGGAUCAUGAUAAAACUCUUCAGGCUGAUCCUACAGACAGUUUUGAAAUGCAGAGAACACCACGAAAAAGUUACCCCGAUGAAGAAGUAAAUGUGAUUCUUCCACAAACUCCAGUUCGGACUGUCAUGAAUACUAUCCAGCAAUUAAUGAUGAUCUUAAAUUCAGCAAGUGAUCAACCGUCAGAAAAUCUGAUUUCCUAUUUUAAUAAUUGCACAGUGAAUCCAAAGGAAAGUAUCCUGAAAAGAGUGAAGGAUAUUGGGUACAUCUUUAAAGAGAAAUUUGCUAAAGCUGUGGGACAGGGAUGUAUGGAAAUUGGAUCACAGCGAUACAGACUUGGAGUCCGAUUGUAUUACCGAGUAAUGGAAUCCAUGCUUAAAUCAGAAGAAGAACGAUUAUCCAUUCAAAAUUUUAGCAAACUCCUGAAUGACAACAUCUUUCAUAUGUCUUUGUUGGCAUGCGCUCUUGAGGUUGUAAUGGCUACAUAUAGCAGAAGUACAUCUCAGAAUCUGGAUACUGGAACAGAUUUGUCCUUCCCUUGGAUUCUGAAUGUACUUAAUUUAAAAGCUUUUGAUUUUUACAAGGUGAUUGAAAGUUUUAUCAAAGCAGAAGCCAACUUGACCAGAGAAAUGAUUAAACAUUUAGAACGAUGUGAACAUCGAAUCAUGGAAUCCCUUGCAUGGCUCUCAGAUUCACCUUUAUUUGAUCUUAUUAAACAAGCAAAGGACCGAGAAGGACCAGCUGAUCACCUUGAACCUGCUUGUACUCUCAACCUUCCUCUCCAGAAUAAUCACACUGCAGCAGAUAUGUAUCUUUCUCCUGUAAGAUCCCCAAAGAAAAAAGGGUCAACUACACGUGUAAAUUCUACUGCAAAUUCAGAGGCACAAGCAACCUCAGCCUUCCAGACUCAGAAGCCAUUGAAAUCUACCUCCCUUUCACUCUUUUACAAAAAAGUGUAUCGACUAGCAUAUCUUCGACUAAAUACCCUGUGUGCACGCCUUCUGUCUGACCACCCAGAACUAGAACAUAUCAUAUGGACCCUUUUCCAACACACACUGCAAAAUGAGUAUGAACUCAUGAGAGACAGGCAUUUGGACCAGAUUAUGAUGUGUUCCAUGUAUGGCAUAUGCAAAGUAAAGAAUAUAGACCUUAAAUUCAAAAUCAUUGUAACAGCAUACAAAGAUCUUCCUCAUGCUGUUCAGGAGACAUUCAAACGUGUUUUGAUCAGAGAAGAGGAGUAUGAUUCUAUUAUCGUAUUCUAUAAUUCAGUCUUCAUGCAGAGACUGAAAACAAAUAUUUUGCAGUAUGCUUCCACCAGGCCCCCUACCUUAUCACCAAUUCCUCACAUUCCUCGAAGCCCUUACAAGUUUUCUAGCUCACCUUUACGGGUUCCUGGGGGGAACAUCUACAUAUCACCCCUGAAGAAUCCGUAUAAAAUUUCAGAAGGUCUGCCUAUGCCAACAAAAAUGACUCCAAGAUCAAGAAUCUUAGUAUCAAUUGGUGAAUCAUUUGGGACUUCUGAGAAGUUCCAGAAAAUAAAUCAGAUGGUGUGUAACAGCGACCGUGUGCUCAAAAGAAGUGCUGAAGGAAGCAACCCUCCUAAACCACUGAAAAAACUGCGCUUUGACAUUGAAGGAUCGGAUGAAGCAGAUGGAAGUAAACAUCUCCCAGGGGAGUCCAAAUUUCAACAGAAACUGGCAGAAAUGACAUCUACUCGAACACGAAUGCAAAAGCAGAAAAUGAAUGAUAGCACGGAUACCUCAAACAGGGAAGAAAAGUGAGGACCUCACGACCUUGGUGGGCACCCUGUACACCUCCAGCUUCAUUGUCUCCCACAGAUCUGACUGUAGAACUCUCCCAGGUUCUGUUUACGGCCACAUUUGAUACAUACCUUCAGCUCUUUUUGUGGAUAGCACAGCUGAGUAUUUGUGCAGGGGAUGCCUAUGCCACUUGCAACAUUGUAGUUACUAGAACAUGCAUUGUUAUUGUACAAGAUUGAAAAUCCUGUGCCAGUCCUGCCAUUUAAAAAGCUGUAGCAGAUGUUUCUGUUUCCAAACUACAGUAAGUCCCCUACAUACGAACCUUCACGAUACGAACUUUCAAAGAUGCGAACAAUUGAAUCCAGCAAGGAACCAGAACCUGUGCCAUCAACGUCAGGCAUGAGUGAAAUUGCAGCUUGUCCUCCGUCUCCUAUUGCUGACGAGCCCUCAGCUCUACCAUCUCCCACCUCCUCCCCCUCCUCCAGCCAGUAACUCUUCUUGCCUGUUCAGGCGAUGCCAGCCCCUGUGUGCCAGCUGUUGUACUGUACUACUGUACUUUUCAAGGGCUCAGCUCAGAGGCCUUCCUUGACACCCAAGCUAAAAUCCUUCCUCUGUACUGUGCCACUCUCCUUCAAAAGGGUAACAGCGUUCACCACCGUCAGAGACUGCCUGACUCGGGCUGCCUAUUGCCUGUUUACCCACCCCGGCAUCAACCUGGCUGCUCUUACCUACUACUAUAGUUCUAGCGUCUAGAAGAAGCCCGUAUGUAGGGGGGAGAAAAAGUUCUCCCAACCUGUUUGUUGUGAUAAUAGCACAGGGAGGACUCAUAAGAUAGAUAAGACUAUGUAGUUUGUAAUUGCCUCUUUUUCAUUAUCACUGGUCAAGAAUUCUGCGUCUGACACUCACCAGGUUAUGGUCUAGAAUGACUGGCAGUUUCUUCAGGUCUCAGAUGAAAACACUUAACCCUUUUUAAAAAGCACUGAAUGGUGUCUCCACAAACCACGCUCAGCAGAUAAGGAUGCUACUUUAUUCCUGUAAAAUCGAAACCUCUCUCUGUGUAAGUUUGGGUGAAAUUAUACUGGAAGCACUAAAACAUUGAAUUUCUUGUGUGAGCAGAGAGGAAACAAAACUUCAGGAUGGAAAAUGUAAGAUGAACUUAACGGAUCCAUUGACUUCUGAUGUAGUGUCAUUAUGAAAAUAGACCUUCCCUCUCACAUAUCCCUGGCUAAACUUAGGGUUUCUGAGCUCUACAAACACUCAUCUGUUAGAAAGAAAUGAAAGAAAUAAAGUGAUAUUAUCCUUCAUAUAGGAGCACUGAUGGCCAGCCUAUCCUCAAAGACCAGAGAGAAAGCAUGUUUUUUCAGAGAGAUGUAACCAUGGGACUCAUCUGUCAUCUCCAACUGGUCUAAAAUUAGCCCUUCCUUAUUGUUUGGCAUCCCAGGUUUUAAGAGCUAAACCAGUGAUUCUCAUCCUUGGCUAAACAUCAAAAUUACUUGUGGAGCUUCGUAAACAUACAGAGUUAGAAUCCUUGAAUCUAUAUUUUGUAAAAGUUUCAUAGAUUAUUCUGUUAUGCCCAGAGAUAAGCAGCACAGAGAUACAGAGCAGUGCAACCUACACAUAACAAGCUUAGAGGAAAUCUAGAUAAAACUCCACCCACCCCUUCUUACUAACGUGUCCUCUGGCAGAGCAGUGACCCCCUGGGGAGUCUUGUGGAGGGUAAUCCACUUUUCAUCCCUAAAUAAACUUACCUGUUCCCUUUGGGUGGUCCAGUAUUUCCAUGAAAUGAGUUCAUAAAAGAAAAAGGCAUUGAGGAACUUCAGAAGACCCUGUCAGAAAAGGGCAAGAAAGAGGAAGAGAAGGUUUGGGAAGACACCAUAAAAUAUAAAGGCUUUUUGGUCAGUGACAGCGAGCGUAGUGGCAUGAGGAGAACAAGUUGGAAAUGAAGCCUGUGGACGUCUGACUGUGAGAACUGAUGGCGACUGGUGAUACCCAGGCCUCAGUGUUUCUUUGCUGGAGAGAACAGCUAACCUACCAGAACAUACAGACACGUGGUGUAAGGCUGUAACAUCUUACAGAAAAAAAA
Molecule: non-coding RNA, 4996 nt
Organism: Kogia breviceps (pygmy sperm whale)
Lineage: Eukaryota; Metazoa; Chordata; Mammalia; Artiodactyla; Physeteridae
Source: RefSeq, a predicted model, not a curated record